GCGUGAAGUCAAAUAUGCUGAAUGGCUCUCCAUCAACAAAUUAAAGAGGCAAAUAUAAAAUCCAGAUUUGUCAGAUUCUGAAAGCACAAGAAAGUUACCUGGAUCAGAGAAAACAGAUCCAGUUUUAUGGAGAGAAAAGGUACCGGUGACAUGGUCUUCGUAUUCCCCAUAAAGAAUAUACAGGAGUCUGUUCUCUAUGUCUGCAUCUCCAUUCAUGGUUUAGUCACUCAUCUCCAUUCGUGGUUUAUAUCUCACUCUUGCAGCCCCAUGGAUUGUAGUCCACCAGGCUCUUCUGUCCAUGGAAUUUCCCAGGUAAGAAUACUGGAGUGGGUUGCCAUUUUGUUCUCCAGGGGAUCUUCCCGACCCUGGGAUCAAACCUGCAUCUCCUGUGUUACAGCUGGUCUCCUGCACUGCUGGUGGAUUCUUUACCAACUGAGACACCAGGGAAGCCCUCUGCAUCUCCAUUGCUGCCCUGCAAAUAGGUUCAUCAGUUCCAUCUUUCUGGAUUCCAUAUAUGUGUGUUAAUAAAUAAUAUUUGUCUUUCUCUUUCUAGCUUACUUCACUCUAUACUAGUUUCAUCCACCUUAUUAGAACUGAGUCAAAUGCAUUCCUUUUUAUGGCUGAAUAAUAUUCUAUUGUAUAUAUGUACCAUAAUCUCUUUAUAUAUUCAUCUGUUCAUGAACAUCUAGGUUGCUUCCAUGUCCUAGUUAUUGUAAAUAAUGCUGCAGUGAACAAUGGGGUACAUGUAUCUUUUUCAAUUAUGGUUUCCUCAGGUUAUAUGCCCAGUAGCUUUUGCACAGUGAAGAAAACUAUAAAGAAAGUGAAAAGACAACCUCAGGAUGGGAGAAAAUAAUAGCAAAUAAAACAACUGACAAAGGAUUAAUCUCUAAAAUAUAAGCAGCUCAUUCAGCUCAAUACCAGAAAAACAAAAAAGCUAAUAAAAAAAAUAGGCAGAAGACCUAAAUAGACAUUUUUCCAAAGACAUACAGAUGGCUGAUAAAUACAUGAAAAGAUGCUCAAUAUUGCUCAUUAUUAGAGAAAUGCAAAUUACAAUGAGAUAGCACCUCACACCAGUCAGAGUGGCCAUCAUCAAAAAAUCUGCAAGCAAUAAAUACUAGAGAGGGUGUGGGGACAAGGGAACCCUCUUGCACUGUUGGUGGGAAUGCAAAUUGAUACAGCCACUAUGGAGAACAGUAUGGAGAUUCCUUAAAAAACUAAGAAUAAAACUACCAGGCCUUUUACUUUUAAUCAGUGACUUUGUCUUUUACUUGCUAGAAAAAAUGCUGUGAAAGUGCACAGCCCCAUCACCCAGCCUUUUUGGCACCAGGGACAGUUUCAUGGAAGACAGUUUUUCCAUGGACUGGUUGGGGACAUGGUUUUGGGAUGAUUCAAGCACAUUACAUUUAUUGUGCACUUUAUUUCUAUCAUUAUUACAUCAGAUCCACCUCAGAUCAUCAGACAUUAGAUGCUGGAGGUUGAAGACCACUGACUCAGGCCCUCCUUACCAUCAUAAUCUAUGUCCUCACCAAUCUGACAGUUUUUUUUGGACAAGUCUCAGAGGAAGGGAUUUUCUUUGUCCUCUUCAAGGGUCUUCCUUCUCUACUCUCUGACAGCGUCAUUCUACAGGCUUGUUUUCAGGCUACAAAUGUUGACUUUUUCCUAUGUUUUGUAACACACACACCUACCACCUUGAACCCCAUGUAUCACACUCUCUUUUUUGUUUUUGUUUUCUUCCUCAAUUCUCAUAGAAGUCGCUUCUCUCAACUGUUUCAUCUCAUGCCUAAUCACCUUCUCCAAGAUGGACUACUUUUGCUGCUGUUUUCUUCAAAGUGGACAUUAAUAGGAGGGCUGGCUUUAAGACAUUCUGUGAAUGAGUAAUACACUGACAAGUUUUCUCAUCCAUUUGCUCACAAUUCCUCAAUAAUUCUGGCAUUUUACAGCUCACAGGCUCAGUUCCCUCCUGGUGCUCUAUGAUGGUAUAAUUUCCUUAUAGAGUAACUAUAUCCAGAUUUUUCUUAUUCAGCUGCCACCUCCCCAGGUCCCGCUACAUUAUCAAAUUCUGCUGUCUAUUUCCUUUUAGUCACUAUAAAAGACUACUUGCCCAAUCUUAUACAGGCUGAUACCAGUGUUUUGUAAUGGCUUAAUGUACCAUACCUCACAGACUAUGGUAAUCACUUUAACAAAGAUCCCAAAAGUACAUUAUCACAAUAUUAUCAUUAUUAUUAUUAUUAUUAUAACAAUUAUUAUUUGAUGUCAAUAUGGAGACCCUAUGGUAGAUUAUAGCAGAGAGAGAAUUUUGGUUGUAGUUACAUUUUUUCUUUUUUGGAACCAAAAUAUUUUUUAAAAAUGUGAAUCACAUAUGGUCCAAAUUAUUUUGCCCAUAGUUUAGCUCUUUUCUGGAAAAAAAAAAAAGUUUUGGAGAAAGGGAUUGAAGAAGAGAAGUAACAGAAACAAUUAUCUUAAUAAAUACCUCUUUUUCUUUUUUUAGUUUUUGUCUGAUUUUCUUCCUCAUUAUUCCUAAUUUUCCUGAAAUUUUAUUUUCUUUUUUAACACUUAUUUCCUAAAUAAUAUGCCUUGAUGACUACUUGUGUGUAUCCUAAAGUGAGCCUGACUUCUCAGGAAAGGAUUCUUCAUUUCAGCUUUCAUAUAACUCUUUCACUUCUCCUUACUAUUCGUAUACAUAGUAAGAAUCCAAUAUAUUUUUAUGGGAACAAAAUUAUUGUAAACAAAUAUAAAUACCCAGGAAAUCACUUAUAGAAAAAUAAUAUGCACUUAGCAUCUGUCAGUAACCCACUUAUUUUGGUUUUGGUCACUCCAGCAACAUUUGAGGACCAAAAAAAAUAAAAGUGUGAAUUCAAUUUCAUAUUGACAUCGGAUUGGGUUUUAUUGUUGUGUUAUGUGAUCUCUCUAAACUAGAUGUUAAAACUCUCAUUUGUAAGUCUAAUGAACAUGACAGUACAUAUGUGAAGUAUGUUGAAGCAGAUAUAUUCAUUUACAUUUUCAAUUUGGAAUCUGAGGCACCGCACGGUUACAAAAAGGUACAUCAGUUCCAAGUGACAGGCUGUAAGCUCCUUCAGGUCAAAAAUGAAAGUGUAGUCCCUCAGUUGUGUCUGAUUCUUUGCAACCCCUUGGAUUGUAGCCCGCCAGGCUCCUCUGUCCAUGGGAUUCUCCAGACAAGCAUACUGGAAUGGGUAUCAAUUGCCUUCUCCAAGGAAUCUUCCUGACCCAGGGAUUGAAGCCAGGUCUCCUAUAUUGCAUGUAGAUUCCUUACCAUCUAAGACACCAGGGAAGCCCUUCAGGUCAGAGGCUAUGACUUAUUUUAGCCUGCUUUCUUGAACCUGUGUAUCUAUAUGUGGUUAGUACUCAGUAAAAAUGUGUGGGCCUGAAAUAUCCAGAGUUGGCCCUGCCUCUUCUGACCUUCUGCCUAGAGUUUUUUCCAUGGCACUAUUUUGCUAUAUAAAGAGGAAGUUGCAAAUUGGAAGUGGGCUCCUUAUUAAACUUGACCUACAGCCUGUAGCCUUGGGCACUCCAAGAUUGAACAAUGGGCUUUCUAAAUAGGUACAGGGUUAUUGUGGGAAGGGUACUUGGUAUCAUUCAUAUCUACCUGCCUUUUGCUGAUGGGACAAACUACUCCAGUUCAUGAUUUUUGGCUCCUCUUAUUCUUAACAGAAUUCAGUAUGUGAAUUUGAACCAACACUGCUGAUCCCCAGCCAAAUCUGCACCAGCUAAUGACUUUUUGCUGCCACCACAUAUUAGUUUUAGCAACUAGUCAUGGCCACGUUUCAUAUUGCCUUCAGGAAAAUCCUCUAGAUGUUGAAAUGAAAAUAGGUGAGAUGGGGGAAUUGGUGUAUAAGGGGCACAUUUCAGAGACUGAAGCUCAAGGGGGCAUAUGUAUUAUUGGUUUGGUACAAAUCAGGUCCAGGAAUCAGGAACUGCUUGUAAGUAACAUAGGUAGAGAUGCCAACCACCUGGGCAUGAUGGUGUGACUAUUCCACAAGACCCCAGAAUGCAGAUGUUCAUUAUAUUUCAUUUACAUGAAUCCCAGAGGUUUUCAUUUAAAUCUGUGUAACUACCUUGAUUGCCUAAAGUACACAUCUGUUUUCUGAAUGGAGUGAUUGGUCAUUUAUAUUACUGAUGUUUCAAGCUUUGAAAUGCUCUUUAUAUAUACUGUGUAUGUUAGAAAAAACAAGAACAACAACCAGACAUUCUGUUCUUAGUACUUCCACAUUUAUUUUUAGUUUAUAGGAUGGAUAGAAUGGAAGAUGUUGGUUUUUAAAAAAUAAAAUUUAACCUUCUUAGGCUAGGGAAACUAAGAGUUAGACAAAUCUUUAACACCACCGUUAGUCUAGUGUGUAUAACUGAAGUAUGGAGUAUAUGCAUUUAGUUCAUAAUUAGAAUCAAGGUGUGAGCAUGUCUAUGAAACAGACAAAAUUGAUUAUUAUUUCCUCUAAACGUACGUGUCAUAAUAUAGCAAACAAAAAUAAAUGUGAUUGUUUCAGUCUAUAAAUUAUGGAGAAAAAGUGUUUUACCCACAAAACAUGAGUUUUAACCGUCUUGAUAAUUUUUUUUCUUUUUUUUUGGUAGUGGUUUUCAUUGCCACUGAAAUUUAAGUGAUUUGAGAUUUGGAUAUCUCAUAAUUUUGUGCUAGUCUUUUUUAUUUAUCUGGCUAGCUUUCAUGGCUCAAAACUAUUCUAUUACUUUGUUAAAGGAGCCCCAUACCCCUUGACUAGAUCAUGAAAUAUGAGAAGAAGGCAGAAAUUUUGACACAUCAAAAAAUCACACUAUCUUUUUCAUGUCAAGUUUCAUGAUUGGAAACUAGGAAUCUUAUAGAAACAAUGCAAAAAAUUGUCUAAGGCAAGAAAGCACAAACACAAUGUAAAAGUAAAUCAUUUAGUAACCUCACUUUCUCAGGAGAAAAGUCAUCUGCUG
This 4929-nucleotide long non-coding RNA is filed under the name Capra hircus (goat). Its description in RNAcentral is "lncRNA (ENSCHIG00000005845.1)". Lineage: Eukaryota; Metazoa; Chordata; Mammalia; Artiodactyla; Bovidae. The record is from RNAcentral.